Molecule: ribosomal RNA, 443 nt
Filed under: uncultured bacterium
Lineage: Bacteria
Description: SSU rRNA
Rfam family: Bacterial small subunit ribosomal RNA
Source: RNAcentral
AGAACGAACGCUGGCGGCAUGCCUAACACAUGCAAGUCGAACGAGACCUUCGGGUCUAGUGGCGCACGGGUGCGUAACGCGUGGGAAUCUACCCUUGGGUUCGGAAUAACUUCCCGAAAGGGAUGCUAAUACCGGAUGAUGUCGUAAGACCAAAGAUUUAUCGCCCAAGGAUGAGCCCGCGUAGGAUUAGCUAGUUGGUGAGGUAAAGGCUCACCAAGGCGACGAUCCUUAGCUGGUCUGAGAGGAUGAUCAGCCACACUGGGACUGAGACACGGCCCAGACUCCUACGGGAGGCAGCAGUGGGGAAUAUUGGACAAUGGGCGAAAGCCUGAUCCAGCAAUGCCGCGUGAGUGAUGAAGGCCUUAGGGUUGUAAAGCUCUUUACCGGAUGAUAUGACAGUACCGGGAGAAUAAGCUCCGGCUAACGUCCGCGCCAGCAGCCGC